RNAcentral lists this ribosomal RNA (247 nucleotides) under uncultured bacterium. RNAcentral's name for it is "partial 16S ribosomal RNA". It matches the Rfam family "Bacterial small subunit ribosomal RNA", at positions 523 to 769 of the family's 1533-position model. The record is from RNAcentral.
AUACGGAGGAUGCAAGCGUUAUCCGGAUUUAUUGGGUUUAAAGGGUGCGUAGGCGGUAUGGUAAGUCAGUGGUGAAAUGUCUCCGCUCAACGGUGAAAGUGCCAUUGAUACUGUCGUACUUGAAUUCGGAUGCCGUGGGAGGAAUGUGUAGUGUAGCGGUGAAAUGCAUAGAUAUUACACAGAACACCGAUUGCGAAGGCAUCUCACGAAUCCGACAUUGACGCUGAGGCACGAAAGUGUGGGGAUC